GGUGACUCCAAGGUGAUCACGACCCACAGGUUGAGAGAGUCUGCUAUGGACUGACUGGCACCUUGCUGUCUCCGGGAGCGAGCAGGAUGAGGGCAGACCUUUUGCAUAUUCCUUGAAGAAGGCUGGCUUCUUGGGGGAGAAUGUCAUACGUGCACUGUCACCUUUGUCCCAUGGUGACACGGAACCUAGCGGAGGAGUUUAGGACAGGAAGGGAAGGAGACGGACUCUCCAUCUACAGAGGGAACUGGAGGACAUACCCAGGAGGAAACAAAGCGUGACUGGGGCAAGUCUGGGCAGCUCGAAGUAUUUAUUCCCAUCCUCUGUGCUACAAGCAAACUGGCAUCCGAUCAGGCAGUGGGUAGAGUGGUGAAAGCCACCAUCUUGGUGGCUCACGAUGGAAUGUGAUAACCGCCCUCAAAAAUCAGGAAGAUUAGCUCAGUGGUAGAGCGCUUGCCUAGGAAGCGCAAGGCCCUGGGUUCGGUCCCCAGCUCCGAAAAAAAGAACCAAAAAAAAAAAAAAAAUCAGGAAGAAGUCUGCACAGAUAACAUUUAAAAUCAAUCAGAUCGUUCCUUCUAGAAGAGCACCUUGGUUGUACUAAACGCCACCAUCACAGACAUCAGGAAUUCUAGAGAGAACAGCAAGCCACACUUGCCUUUCUCUGUAGCUCAGAGGCAAGCAGGAAGCCACUCCCACUAGACGGGCGAAAUUGUACUAGUAUGAGAUUCUGAAUCUGGCCAGAGUUUGUCUCACAGAAGACAAAGGAGAUGGGAAGAGGUCCUUGUAGGCUGUAGAAAUGAUGGGUGAGGUAAGGACAGUCUGCCUAGGUUUUAUGUUUAGUAAAACAUCAAGCUGUGUAGGGAACCGGCUCAAGAAGCCACAGACGCAUUGGGAGACAGGGUGGAAAUAACACAGAGAAAGGGGGCGUGGCCUAAAGCCGUGCAUGGAGAGUAAAGGAGGGGCUGAAGUGUGGUAGCUGCUUCCUGGAUCCGAACACUUGCUUCUUAUCCUGUGGGACCAACCUUUCCACUCGAUGAAAGCGACGAGGACUAAGUGUCAUGCUAGUUUAUGGAAGGACAUUUUAGGAGUGGGCAGGGCAUCUUGCCUGUCUGGCCAGUGAGACUUGUUCUAAGAGGGGACAGGUAAUUCGUUACCCCCUGAUGUUGCAGGGGUAGCUCACAGAAGAAGCAGUUGGAUAGGAUGACCAGUUAAGUCCUAUGAAGUCUGACUUUCCGUUUUGGAGAUUAAGGAAGACAGGAGUUAGGCAGGGUAGAUGAGGGAGAGCCAUUCUAUCAGAGGGAACUGCAAAUGUGGGUCCUGGACAUUUGGCUUACACUGGGAACAGGGAAAUGGCCAGAAGGGGAGUAAUUAAAGUAAGGCUGGGAAGGGGGGAAGAGAGAGA
Non-coding RNA from Rattus norvegicus (Norway rat), 1399 nucleotides. Lineage: Eukaryota; Metazoa; Chordata; Mammalia; Rodentia; Muridae. The record is from RefSeq and is a predicted model, not a curated record.